AUGCCUUUUUCAAGCCCAACUAGCACCUUGAGAAUCGUUCUGAACUCUAGUUCUGACAUAUUCCCAAUGUCCAUAUUGAUUAGGUCCCUAGCUGUCGGUAGUGCCUCUUCUUCUUUUCUCGUGCACUCCGAGCUCACCCAACCUGCGACUCAGCUUUUCUAUCUCUGGAGCAUAGCCCCAUUUGGUGUCUCCAAACUCAGUGGAUUCCUGCUGCACUGCUUCUCCCAGAGCAGGAAGGUGAGUCUCCCUGGAUUUGCCACUUGUGGGGUCCCUGCUCAAAGAACAGUGACCCAGCUGUGCCUUGGAUCAUGGUUUAAUGUAGACCCAAUCUAAAGGCUCACUCUUCAGUUUUGUCUCUGAAUCUGGCUUCCCUACUCUGAUACCAGGCAACUCUGCCACACUCAGACACCCCCCAUCUUUCUGUGACCUCACAGGACCUGAGACCACACUGUCCCCACAAGGGCUUCACCCCCGCUUAACCUCUGGAACAAUGUCCCUCGGUGGAACAGACUUCUAAAAGUUCUGAUUUUGUGCUCACUGUUCUGCCACUUUCCGGGAGCCAGGCCCUCCCCCAAUGGUUUAUCUUCCUGUUGCUUCAGAUUCACUUCUCUACACAUCCUAACUUUCAGAAAGUGGUCGAUUUUCUGUUCCUAGAAUUGCUGCUCUUCUUCUCUUCUCUCUCUUGUUGAGUUUGUAGGUGUUUGGAAUGGUUUGACACCUACCUAGCUGAACUCCUGGAUCUGAUAUCGUUUCAGUCUGCUACUGCUCUGCCAUCUUGCCUCUCUCUCUGUUGUUACUUUUUGAAGGCUUCAUUGAUUAGGUGUCAUGAAAUAUGCAGAGAAACAAGGUGAUUCCAGAUUCUCUUCACUCUCUCCUGCUCUGAGUGCAGCUCUUCUUUCCACCUGUUAGUCCUACUGACCCACAGCACCCCAGGCUCACCAGCAGACAUGGAGACAGCAGGUUUCCCUACACAUCAGUACCUUUUCUUCAGUCUCCCCCUGGCAGCUGCCCAUAUUCUCUUUCAAGCUCCCAACUUGCUGCAGUGUUUCAGGAGGUUAGCUAGUAGUUUGUCUCUGAUCCUCCCACUUCCCCCUUUUCCACAAUUGUUCCAUUUAGUCCUAUAAGGAUCCUUUAUUACAUGAUAUGAGUCUGCCUUCCAGAUGGAAUCCUGACUAUUACACUCCUAUUCCUUUCUACCUCCUGAAAUUAUUUCUGAUCCCUUUAGCAUUUUCAUUUUAUUAGAUAUUAGUCAUAUAUUCCUCAUUGGUUGUGGGUUGCAGAGAAAGGUCUCCUUAUAAUUGUAUUUUCUUUUUUAGAGGCUUGGAGGAGUUGUCAUGCACCUUUCUUCUCUUUGGGUUAUAUUUAAUUAAAAACAAACAAAAACACAAAGCAGAAGUCAAAAUAAAGAUUAGUUUAAUAAUGGAAAAGCUGGAUUUCAGAAAUUGGCAAGCCAGCCUCCCUCCUAUCCCAAUUAAAAUUUUCCCAUUCAGUCAUCAGAGAGAAAGCAUUAAAUCUCUCUCCACUCUGAGGAGGGCUGCUGUGUGUUUGCCACAAGGGAGAAGUAAUUGAGGAGGAGAAUCAUAUUUCAUUUAAUGACCCACAGUUCUAAGAGAAAGAGGGGUAGACCUGCACUAUCUGUUUCUAAACAGUAACCUGCUUCCGAAAUAGUGUCAUGAAUGUCAGGCUCUUACAAAUGUCAACAGGCAGUUGAAAGUCACUCUUCCUUCACCAAGAGACCCUAAAAGUGUACAUUCCAAUAUGGUCUCUUCUUUGGAUAUAGGGGAAGGUCCCACAUUGGAAACUUGGGGUCAUGGGACUUGGGUUCUACCUUUCCUUGUCCUCGUGUCACUACAUUUAAAGAUCAUUUGUAAAUACUUUAUUAGGGCACUCUAGAUUGACAGCUCCUAUUUAUAAUUAUAUAGACCAACCCAUGACCCAUGUCAACACUUCCUUGCCUAUAUGAGUUCUUUCUUAAAGAAUGAUAAACUCUACAGAGUGGGAAGACAAAAUGCUAUACUUGCCUUCCCAUCAUUUCUUGAUGGUAGGGGAUUGUCCUGAGUAGUGGUUCUGGCCGGUGAGCCAUAGACUAAGCCAUAGACUUAGCCAUAGCUAAGUCGAAUGUUUUACUUGAAAACUUCUGUUUAUAAAAGGAGAUAGAUACAGGUGUCACCAAUCCUUUUCUUCCUUCUUCCUGUCUUGCACAUGUGUUUUUUAGUACCAUUUGCUGAAGCAAUGAAAAUAGCCAAGGAAGUGUAAUUAUGAAUAUAAAUAAUCCUUACCAACUAUUUUAAAUUGGAAGAAGAGUCUUGAUUAAUAGAUAGCUUACGUUGGAUUUGGAUGCAUUUUGCCUGUCUUAUUAAUCAUAAUGCUGUCUAAUAAGUCUUAAUUUUUUUCUCAACACACCUUACAAAAAAAAAAAAAUCUGCUAUCAAAAAGAUAGUAAAAAACUAGGUUCUCACAUGCUAGAACCUUAGACAGUGGUUCUCAAAUUUGAGUGUCCAUCAAAAUCACCCGGAGAGAUGUUAAAAUACAAUUGCUAGGACCCAAAGACGUAAGUUUCUGAUUCAGUAGGUCUGAGAUGUGUCUAAUAAUUUGCAUUUCUGACAUGUUCUUGGGUGAUGCUAGUGGUACAAAUCUGGGAACCACACCUUAAAAUUUACUGUUUUAUGAUAUCAAUGCUGUGUUGUCCUCUUCCAUACCUAUUUUGAGGUAAUAGACCCUAGCUGAUGUUAGAUGCUGUGAGGAGCCAAACUUUUUAAACUUUGAUAAACCAGGAAUGAUGAAGUGACUCAACUGUCAGGAGCACAUCACCAAACUUGACUAAUCAAAAAAAAAAAAAAAAGAGAGAGAGAGAAGUGACAUGACUGGCUUGCUCAGUUGGAGCAUGAUCUUGGGGUUUUGAGUUUGAAUCCUAUGUUGAGUGUAGAAUACUUAACCAACUGGCUCAGUUGGUUAAACAUCUAACUCUAGUUUUGGCUCAAGUCAUGAUCUCAGGGUUGUGAGUUCAAGCCCCACAUUAGGCUCUGCACUGGGUGUGGAGCCUGCUUAAGAUUCCUCUCCUUCCUCUCCCUCUUCUCCUCCCUACCUCUCUUAAAAAAAUUAAAUAUUUUUUAAAAAUAGUAAAAUUUUCUUCUGACCUUGGUUAAUGAUUUCUUGUGCCAGUGUCUAUAAAUUUUAGGAAUGAUUUGUAAGAGGAUAAUUAAUAAUCAGUAUUUCUUACUACAUGACUUUUUAAUAAAAAAUAAGGGAAAAUUAAACCAGUAUCCUGUUUAACAAUAAUUGAAUACCUCACCUUUGUAUAGCUGAUGGAAGAACCAAAUGAUUUUAAUUUAGUUUUGGAUGUCAUUAGUUUGGUAGAGAUUUUGUCAGGCAUCUCUAAGGAUGAACCUAUUGGAAGAUAAUAUAUUAUCAAAUAGAAUGGUGUAAUUUUCUAUUUGCAAGUUAAAUGAAUUAAUAUGGUAGACAUGGUGUUUUAUCAUCAUAUGCAAUUGUAGAUUUCUGUAUGUACUUUGAUGAUUACUAUCAUUCAGUCUUGUUAAAGAACCUGGGCAUCUCAUUAGUAUUCUGUUACUGAGCAGUGUGAUCAUGUGUGGAGCAGCUGGAGAGGGACCAUAUAUUUCACAGAACUCUGGAUUAAUGACAAGAAAUAUUCUGGUAGUGACCCCAUGAAUAGAAAGCAGGAAUCUUGAAAAAACAAACAAAUAAACAAACAAAAAAAAAACCUUCCAAUUUGCGAGUCUAUCUUUGUAAAG
This 3752-nucleotide long non-coding RNA is filed under the name Mustela putorius furo (domestic ferret). RNAcentral's name for it is "lncRNA (ENSMPUG00000031606.1)". Lineage: Eukaryota; Metazoa; Chordata; Mammalia; Carnivora; Mustelidae. The record is from RNAcentral.